RNAcentral lists this ribosomal RNA (519 nucleotides) under uncultured bacterium. RNAcentral's name for it is "bacterial SSU rRNA". It matches the Rfam family "Bacterial small subunit ribosomal RNA", at positions 8 to 518 of the family's 1533-position model. The record is from RNAcentral.
AGGGUUCAAUUCUGGCUCAGGAUGAACGCUGGCGGCGUGCCUAAUACAUGCAAGUCGAACGAGGUAGCAAUACCGAGUGGCGAACGGGUGAGUAACACGUAGGUAACCUGCCCUUAAGCUUGGGAUACCCGAGAGGAAACUUUGGACUAAUACCGGAUAACAACAGAGAAGGCAUCUUCUUUGCUUGAAAGGCCCCUUCAAGGGUCACUUAAGGAUGGACCUGCGGCGCAUUAGCUAGUUGGUGAGAUAACAGCCCACCAAGGCGAGGAUGCGUAGCCGAACUGAGAGGUUGAUCGGCCACAUUGGAACUGAGACACGGUCCAAACUCCUACGGGAGGCAGCAGUAAGGAGUUUUCGGCAAUGGGGGAAACCCUGACCGAGCAACGCCGCGUGAGCGAUGACGGUCCUUUGGAAUUGUAAAGCUCUGUUGUAAGCCAUGAAUUGAUAGCUUUAAGGAAAUGAAAGCUAUUUGACGACAGCUUACCAGAAAGCCACGGCUAACUACGUGCCAGCAGCCGC